RNAcentral lists this long non-coding RNA (1020 nucleotides) under Gadus morhua (Atlantic cod). Its description in RNAcentral is "lncRNA (ENSGMOG00000025029.1)". The record is from RNAcentral. Lineage: Eukaryota; Metazoa; Chordata; Actinopteri; Gadiformes; Gadidae.
AUGUUGACGUACUUCGCCCCACAGCUGCUGAAGUACAACAAUCGCUCCAUCCCACCCUGUAUUUCCACCAUUAAGCAGCUAGGACUAUUGCGUAGACCUCGAUAUAUCCACAGAGGCUCAGGGAGAAACUUUGUUUAUGGUCAGCCUGCUGGCUUCAUCACAUCCAUUAGGUCCGCAGAGACGGCUGAGGGCAAAAGACGUAACAUCGCGAGAUCCCCGCACUCCCGGCUGGAUAGAUUUCAUGGAGUGGAUUCCAACCUGCGCGGAGUGGAUUUUAAGGCUCUGCGACCUGUACAGAGAAUAACUCCAAAGUCACUGGUUAAAUUUGAACUUUUCAACACUCAAUCCUUGAAUAAUAAAUCCAGCUUGAUUGAAGAGCAUAUCAGGGAAAAAGGACUUGACUUCAUGUGUCUAACAGAAACCUGGCACCAGCCAGAGGUUUACUCUGCCCUAAACGAAGCCUGUCCCCCAGGCUACAGUUACUUGGAGGCAGCCCGCAGAACUGGACGCGGUGGUGGCCUAGCUGUCAUCCACAAACAGGACCUGGAGUUGUCCCCCAUGGUGCUGCCUACAACUUCCUCCUUUGAAUGUCUUGCAUUCACAUGCAAGCCCCCCCAUCCCAUGACUGUUCUACUCAUAUACAGGCCCCCUAAACCCAACUCUGCUUUCAUCCCGGAAAUGUCUGAUCUCCUCACAACACUCUGUACUACCUCUGCCAAUACCAUCAUUCUGGGUGAUUUAAAUAUUCAUGUUGACACCCCCUCAUGCCAGCCCGCUGCUGAUUUUCUUCAGCUGCUAGACUCCCUCAACCUACAACAACAUGUUGAUGCCCCCACACACUCCAGAGGACACACAAUUGACCUGGUCAUCUCAAACUCCGCCCCCAUCAGCAACCUACAGGUCUAUGAUCUUGGCGUCUCGGAUCACAGAGUUGUGUCAAUGGAGCUCCCUUUUCCUUCCUCCCACACCAAACCAAAGCGGCAGAUCCACUUCACGCUGUUGAAACUUCCUACAACUUAA